RNAcentral lists this ribosomal RNA (429 nucleotides) under Bacteroidota bacterium. RNAcentral's name for it is "Bacteroidetes bacterium partial 16S ribosomal RNA". It matches the Rfam family "Bacterial small subunit ribosomal RNA", at positions 355 to 776 of the family's 1533-position model. The record is from RNAcentral. Lineage: Bacteria; Pseudomonadati; Bacteroidota.
UAGGGAAUCUUCCGCAAUGGACGCAAGUCUGACGGAGCAACGCCGCGUGAGUGAAGAAGGAUUUCGGUUCGUAAAACUCUGUUGUUAGAGAAGAACAGCGCAUAGAGUAACUGUUAUGCGUGUGACGGUAUCUAACCAGAAAGGGACGGCUAACUACGUGCCAGCAGCCGCGGUAAUACGUAGGGCGCAAGCGUUAUCCGGAAUUAUUGGGCGUAAAGAGCUUGUAGGCGGUUCGUCGCGUCUGGUGUGAAAGCCCAUCGCUUAACGGUGGGUUUGCGCCGGGUACGGGCGGGCUAGAGUGCAGUAGGGGAGACUGGAAUUCUCGGUGUAACGGUGGAAUGUGUAGAUAUCGGGAAGAACACCAAUGGCGAAGGCAGGUCUCUGGGCUGUUACUGACGCUGAGAAGCGAAAGCGUGGGGAGCGAACAGG